CAUCCCUCUGAAUAUCCUAGAGAUAGGGUAGGCCUUCGGGACAGAGGAGACAGGUGGUGCAUGGUUGUCGUCAGCUCGUGUCGUGAGAUGUUGGGUUAAGUCCCGCAACGAGCGCAACCCUUGAACUUAGUUGCCAGCAUUUGGUUGGGCACUCUAAGUUGACUGCCGGUGACAAACCGGAGGAAGGUGGGGAUGACGUCAAAUCAUCAUGCCCCUUAUGACCUGGGCUACACACGUACUACAAUGGCCGGUACAACGGGAAGCGAAGGAGCGAUCCGGAGCGAAUCCUUAGAAGCCGGUCUCAGUUCGGAUUGCAGGCUGCAACUCGCCUGCAUGAAGUCGGAAUUGCUAGUAAUCGCGGAUCAGCAUGCCGCGGUGAAUACGUUCCCGGGUCUUGUACACACCGCCCGUCACACCAUGGGAGUUGGCAACACCCGAAGUCGGUGAGGUAACCGUAAGGAGCCAGCCGCCUAAGGUGGGGUCGAUGACUGGGGUGAAGUCGUAACAAGGUA
RNAcentral lists this ribosomal RNA (512 nucleotides) under uncultured soil bacterium. RNAcentral describes it as "bacterial SSU rRNA". It matches the Rfam family "Bacterial small subunit ribosomal RNA", at positions 985 to 1498 of the family's 1533-position model. The record is from RNAcentral.